GAUGAACGCUGGCGGCGUGCCUAAUACAUGCAAGUCGAGCGAACGGACGAGAAGCUUGCUUCUCUGAUGUUAGCGGCGGACGGGUGAGUAACAAGUGGAUAACCUACCUAUAAGACUGGGAUAACUUCGGGAAACCGUAGCUAAUACCGGAUAAUAUUUUGAACCGCAUGGUUCAAAAGUGAAAGACGGUCUUGCUGUCACUUAUAGAUGGAUCCGCGCUGCAUUAGCUAGUUGGUAAGGUAACGGCUUACCAAGGCAACGAUGCAUAGCCGACCUGAGAGGGUGAUCGGCCACACUGGAACUGAGACACGGUCCAGACUCCUACGGGAGGCAGCAGUAGGGAAUCUUCCGCAAUGGGCGAAAGCCUGACGGAGCAACGCCGCGUGAGUGAUGAAGGUCUUCGGAUCGUAAAACUCUGUUAUUAGGGAAGAACAUAUGUGUAAGUAACUGUGCACAUCUUGACGGUACCUAAUCAGAAAGCCACGGCUAACUACGUG
Molecule: ribosomal RNA, 497 nt
Filed under: uncultured bacterium
Lineage: Bacteria
Description: partial 16S ribosomal RNA
Rfam family: Bacterial small subunit ribosomal RNA
Source: RNAcentral